GGAAUCUUCGGCAAUGGACGAAAGUCUGACCGAGCAACGCCGCGUAAGUGAAGAAGGUUUUCGGAUCGUAAACUCUGUUGGUAGAGAAGAACGUUGGUGAGAGUGGAAAGCUCAUCAAGUGACGGUAACUACCCAGAAAGGGACGGCUAACUACGUGCCAC
RNAcentral lists this ribosomal RNA (161 nucleotides) under uncultured bacterium. Its description in RNAcentral is "partial 16S rRNA". It matches the Rfam family "Bacterial small subunit ribosomal RNA", at positions 358 to 511 of the family's 1533-position model. The record is from RNAcentral.